GAUGAACGCUGGCGGCGUGCCUAAUACAUGCAAGUCGAGCGAACAGACGAGGAGCUUUCUCCUCUGACGUUAUCGGCGGACGGGUGAGUAACACGUGGAUAACCUACCUAUAAGACUGGGAUAACUUCGGGAAACCGGAGCUAAUACCGGAUAAUAUAUUGAACCGCAUGGUUCAAUAGUGAAAGACGGUUUUGCUUUCACUUAUAGAUGGAUCCGCCCCGCAUUAGUUAGUUGGUAAGGUAACGGCUUAACAAGGCAACGACGGUUAACCGACCUGAGAGCGUGGACGGCCAGACUGGAACUGAGAAACGGCACAGACACCUGCGCGAGGACGCAGUCGGGAAUCUUCCGCAAUGGGGGAAAGCCUGACGGAGCAAAGCCGCGUAAGUGAUGAUGGUCUUCGGAUCGUAGAGCUCUGUUAUUAGGGAAGAUCAAAUGUGUAAGUAACUAUGCACGUCUUGACGGUACCUAAUCAGAAAGCCACGGCUAACUACGUG
This 497-nucleotide ribosomal RNA is filed under the name uncultured bacterium. Its description in RNAcentral is "partial 16S ribosomal RNA". It matches the Rfam family "Bacterial small subunit ribosomal RNA", at positions 28 to 507 of the family's 1533-position model. The record is from RNAcentral.